Molecule: ribosomal RNA, 253 nt
Filed under: uncultured bacterium
Lineage: Bacteria
Description: partial 16S ribosomal RNA
Rfam family: Bacterial small subunit ribosomal RNA
Source: RNAcentral
UACGGGGGGGGCAAGCGUUGUUCGGAAUCACUGGGCGUAAAGGGCGCGUAGGCGGCCGAUCAAGUCGGGGGUGAAAGCCUGUGGCUCAACCACAGAAUUGCCUUCGAUACUGUUUGGCUUGAGACCGGAAGAGGUUAGUGGAACUGCGAGUGUAGAGGUGAAAUUCGUAGAUAUUAGGAAGAACACCAGUGGCGAAGGCGGCUCACUGGCCCGGUACUGACGCUGAGGCGCGAAAGCGUGGGGAGCAAACGGG